CCUACGGGAGGCUGCAGUGGGGAAUAUUGCACAAUGGGCGCAAGCCUGAUGCAGCCAUGCCGCGUGUGUGAAGAAGGCCUUCGGGUUGUAAAGCACUUUCAGCGGGGAGGAAGGCGGUGAGGUUAAUAACCUCAUCGAUUGACGUUACCCGCAGAAGAAGCACCGGCUAACUCCGUGCCAGCAGCCGCGGUAAUACGGAGGGUGCAAGCGUUAAUCGGAAUUACUGGGCGUAAAGCGCACGCAGGCGGUCUGUCAAGUCGGAUGUGAAAUCCCCGGGCUCAACCUGGGAACGGCAUUCGAAACUGGCAGGCUAGAGUCUUGUAGAGGGGGGUAGAAUUCCAGGUGUAGCGGUGAAAUGCGUAGAGAUGUGGAGGAAUACCGGUGGCGAAGGCGGCCCCCUGGACAAAGACUGACGCUCAGGUGCGAAAGCGUGGGGAGCAAACAGGAUUAGAUACCCUAGUAGUC
Molecule: ribosomal RNA, 465 nt
Filed under: uncultured Klebsiella sp.
Lineage: Bacteria; Pseudomonadati; Pseudomonadota; Gammaproteobacteria; Enterobacterales; Enterobacteriaceae
Description: bacterial SSU rRNA
Rfam family: Bacterial small subunit ribosomal RNA
Source: RNAcentral